AUGGAUCGGUGGGCGGCGCCGGCGUCCUACUGGUGCUACAGCUGCGAGCGGUUCGUGCGCACGGCGGGGGACGCCGGGCUGGUCUGCCCCGGCUGCGACGGCGGCUUCCUGGAGCAGAUGGACGCGCCGCCGCCGCGCAGGGCCGCCGCGCCCUCCGCCUUCCUCCGCCGCCGCGCCGCCGAGGCGCCCACCGAGGUCCGGCCCCGCCGCGGCAGGCGUGGCGGCGCCGCCUCGGGGGACCGCUCCGGCUCGCCGUACAACCCGGUCAUCGUGCUCCGGCGCUCCGCGGCCCCGCCCGGCGACGAGGCCCCCGGCGCCACCAGCAGCUUCGAGCUCUUCUACGACGACGGCGCCGGAUCCGGCCUCCGCCCGCUGCCCGAGAGCAUGUCCGACUUCCUCAUGGGGUCCGGGUUCGAGCGCCUCCUCGAGCAGCUCGCCCAGAUCGAGGCCGGCGGCUUCGGCGCCGUCCGCCCCUGCGACAACCCGCCGGCCUCCAAGGCCGCCGUCGAGUCCAUGCCCACCGUCGUCGUCGCCGCCUGCCACGUCGGCGCCGACUCCCACUGCGCCGUCUGCAAGGAGGCCUUCCAGCUGGGCGACGAGGCCAGGGAGAUGCCCUGCAGCCACAUGUACCACCAGGACUGCAUCCUGCCGUGGCUCGCGCUGCGCAACUCGUGCCCCGUGUGCCGGCACGAGCUGCCCACGGAUGUGGCGCGGCCUGCUCCGGCCAGCGACCUGGGCGCCGCUGACGACCAGGGCAGCAACACCGGGGCUGAGGCUGGCAGCGAGGAGGAGACGACGGUGGGGUUGACGAUUUGGCGGCUCCCUGGAGGAGGCUUUGCCGUCGGGAGGUUCACUGGUGGCCGGAGGGCCGGCGAGAGGGAGCUCCCAGUUGUCUACACCGAGGUGGACGGCGGUUUCAACAAUGGCGGUGCACCGAGGAGGAUCUCAUGGUCAUCAAGAGGGAGCCGUUCGUCGCAGAGGGGAGUUAUUAGACGCAUGUUCGACAACAUGUUUGCUUGCUUUGGGCACACCCAUUCGACCAAUGUGACUCGAGCCUCAUCCUCGAGGUCAGAGUGGAGCUCGGUUUUCACCCGUGGUCUGAGGAGCCGCAGCACAAGCUGGAGAUCCCAAGAUAGCCACGCCGAUGCGAUCGCCAGGUGA
RNAcentral lists this ribosomal RNA (1161 nucleotides) under Triticum aestivum (bread wheat). Its description in RNAcentral is "partial small subunit ribosomal RNA". The record is from RNAcentral. Lineage: Eukaryota; Viridiplantae; Streptophyta; Magnoliopsida; Poales; Poaceae.